UACGUAGGGUGCAAGCGUUGUCCGGAAUUAUUGGGCGUAAAGAGCUUGUAGGCGGUUUGUCGCGUCUGCUGUGAAAUUUCGGGGCUCAACCCCGAACUUGCAGUGGGUACGGGCAGACUAGAGUGUGGUAGGGGAGACUGGAAUUCCUGGUGUAGCGGUGAAAUGCGCAGAUAUCAGGAGGAACACCGGUGGCGAAGGCGGCGUCCUGGACCAACACUGACACUGAGGAGCGAAAGCCAGGGGAGCAAACGGG
Molecule: ribosomal RNA, 253 nt
Filed under: uncultured bacterium
Lineage: Bacteria
Description: partial 16S ribosomal RNA
Rfam family: Bacterial small subunit ribosomal RNA
Source: RNAcentral